GUGAAAUAAAAUAAAAUAAGAAACAUUUUUAUCUUUCCCAGAACGGGGAUGUAGCUCAGUGGUAGAGCGCAUGCUUUGCAUGUAUGAGGUCCUGGGUUCAAUCCCCAGCUUCUCCAUUUAAAAUUAUUGCAUUGACCCAACUCCUACUUUACAGAAUGUUGUAAUUCUAAGCAGGAAACAGAGAUGUGCUAAAUAAUUUGGUUUUGUAAUCUGAAGAACAUUCCUUCAAUCCCUGUUCGUACAAUUAUAGAACAGAAGUGGCAUGAUUGCCAUCUUUUAUGGCGUCAUUUUCAAAAACUGAAGUUUAUGGGUUCGAUCCCAGUCUGUACCUGGUUUAAGAAUUGCUGCUAUCAUUUCCUUGUAGUUUCAAUGGAGUGGUGUAUAUAAAAAGUACAUUGUAUUGAUAUUGCAUUUUAUCUGCAAAUGAAAUGGGAUGGAAGCUCAGAGGGGGAGUGCAUGCAAAAUAUGUAUGAGGUCCUCGGUUCAAUCCCAAGAUUCUCCACUGAGUUUAUUUGUGUGCCAAAUUCACAUUUACACAACUACUACUUUCCUGAAUGUUGAUAUAUAAUACAGAGCGUAGAGUGGCAUGGUGGCCGAGUGGUAAGG
This 606-nucleotide transfer RNA is filed under the name Salmo salar (Atlantic salmon). RNAcentral describes it as "lncRNA (ENSSSAG00000119656.1)". The stretch from base 45 to 116 matches the Rfam family "tRNA". Lineage: Eukaryota; Metazoa; Chordata; Actinopteri; Salmoniformes; Salmonidae. The record is from RNAcentral.